This 23-nucleotide non-coding RNA is filed under the name Arabidopsis thaliana (thale cress). Lineage: Eukaryota; Viridiplantae; Streptophyta; Magnoliopsida; Brassicales; Brassicaceae. The record is from RNAcentral.
ACAAAAAGACAAAGUGGGCUGGC